Molecule: ribosomal RNA, 500 nt
Filed under: uncultured bacterium
Lineage: Bacteria
Description: bacterial SSU rRNA
Rfam family: Bacterial small subunit ribosomal RNA
Source: RNAcentral
GAUGAACGCUAGCGAUAGGCCUAACACAUGCAAGUCGAGGGGCAUCACAUGAAGUAGCAAUACGGAUGGUGGCGACCGGCGCACGGGUGAGUAACACGUAUGCAACCUGCCUUCAACAAGGGCAUAACCCGUUGAAAGACGGACUAAUUCCCUAUAACACAGGGGUCCCGCAUGGGAAUAUUUGUUAAAGAUUAAUCGGUUGAAGAUGGGCAUGCGUUCCAUUAGCUUGUUGGCGGGGUAACGGCCCACCAAGGCAACGAUGGAUAGGGGAACUGAGAGGUUUAUCCCCCACACUGGUACUGAGACACGGACCAGACUCCUACGGGAGGCAGCAGUGAGGAAUAUUGGUCAAUGGACGCAAGUCUGAACCAGCCACGUCGCGUGAAGGAAGACGGCCCUACGGGUUGUAAACUUCUUUUGCAAGGGAAUAAAGUGGGCCACGUGUGGCCUUUUGCAAGUACCUUGCGAAUAAGGAUCGGCUAACUCCGUGCCAGCAGCCG